CGCGGCCUAUCAGCUUGUUGGCGAGGUAACGGCUCACCAUGGCGACGACGGGUAGCUGGUCUGAGAGGAUGGUCAGCCGGACUGGGACUGAGAUACGGCCCAGACUCCUACGGGGGGCAGCAAUUAGGAAUCUUGCGCAAUGGGCGAAAGCCUGACGCAGCGACGCCGCGUGGAGGAGGAAGUCUUUCGGGAUGUAAACUCCUUUUGGGUGGGAAGAAAACAAUGACGGUACCACCUGAAUAAGCCCCGGCUAACUACGUGCCAGCAGCCGCGGUAAUACGUAGGGGGCGAGCGUUGUCCGAAGUUACUGGGCGUAAAGCGCGCGUAGGCGGGUUGGCAAGUCUGCUGUGAAAGCCCGGAGCUUAACUCCGGAGGGUCGGUGGAUACUGCCAGUCUUGAAGUGGCUAGGGGGAGAUGGAAUUACCGGUGUAGCGGUGAAAUGCGUAGAGAUCGGUAGGAACACCAGUGGCGAAGGCGGUCUCCUGGAGCUAACUUGACGCUGAUGCGCGAAAGCUGGGGGAGCAAACGGGAUUAGAUACCCCGGUAGUCCCAGCCCUAAACGAUGGAUACUAGGUGUCGGGGGUAUCGACCCCUCCGGUGCCGCAGCUAACGCAGUAAGUACCCCGCCUGGGGAGUACGG
Molecule: ribosomal RNA, 640 nt
Filed under: uncultured Actinomycetes bacterium
Lineage: Bacteria; Bacillati; Actinomycetota; Actinomycetes
Description: bacterial SSU rRNA
Rfam family: Bacterial small subunit ribosomal RNA
Source: RNAcentral